GGCGAUUGAGCCCGCCUCCUCCCCCUAAGCUCAGGGAAGAGAAAGGCAGUCGGGCUGGGGAGGGAGAGAGGAGAGAAGUGGGAGGUGGGCACGCGGGGGAGCGGGAGGAGGAGACCGGACAAUAGGAGAGAAAGUGAAGCCGCGGCUGAAAAUAAAAAGGCGCACCAGCUCGGGGCGCCCUCGGCGCAUUCAGCGUUUAAUAAGUGCUUGUCGAUAAGAGCUCGGGAAGCCAAAAUCAAUAACGAGGCGCCCCGGCCCCUCCGCUCGGUGCCCUUGGACCUUCCGGGCUGAUGGGUGGGAAUGGCCCCGGCAGCCUCUGCACCUCCCUUCCCCCAGUUCUGGAAGGACUUUUGGGGAUCAAUCGGGACUUCUUGUGAAGGGUCUUCUAGUGUGGUCUCGAAUGAUCCUGGAAGUCGGUAGGAGUUUUGCCAGGAUGCCUCAGCUUCUGGGCGCAACUAAAGCUCUAUCUCUUCUUCGGGCCUAGCAGCGGCCUUUCCCCGCCGCAGAUGUGGUGUGGAAGGAUGCUAACUUAGUGUAAUUGUUUCGACAGGACAGGGCCCCGGCUGGACAGACUGCCAAAUCAUUCCUCUGACGCUGCGCCGUUCUCUUAUCUAUUGCUUCAGGCGAAUCGCUGGUGGACACCCCUCCGCUACCCUGAUCUCACGUCGGCAGAAUAGUUCUCCCACCUCGCCAUCUCACCUUUCAGGUUCAGCGCAGUUCUGCCCGGCUGAACGUAAAGAACCUGCGGCUCUGGGUCCCGGGAGUGAGAUCUGCAGAGAUAAGCAGCCGGACAUCCCCGGGCUGGCUGACCCCACCGGCCCGUGAACGCUAGGAUUGUGCACGUAGCCGCAGGAGCAGAACCGCGCCGGUCUGACUGCCAGAUACCCCUCUAUGGCAUGUGGGUUGGGCUCUUGGAUGCUUUCCCUGCCUCCCCCCACCCCCUUCCUUUGGGGGCUCCGAGCAGGGGCCUGCAGGUUUCGUCCGGGCGGCUGAUUCUGCCCGCCUGGAGGCAUGAGGGAGUAGAUUCUUGGGCUCGGAUUGUAACUGCUUUCUAUCUGAAUAUGUAACAGGACUGGGACAGGGAAGGGUUGUGUGAAUGGUUGGAAGGCUUUUCAUCGGUGCAGCCCAACACCAGCUGGAAGCAUCCCAGCCUGAAGGGCUCUGUAACCCCUCUCCGCCUUCCCCUCCUCCUAAAGAACACCCCCCCACCCACCCACCCAUUCUGUGUGCUGUUGUCCUCCAGUCCUUGAAACUGGGCUGCUAGAGGUAUUGCUGAGGAGCACGGACAGUAUGGCUGGAGUCUUAGGCAAAGCCCGGACUAGAAACUGGUAUCUUUUCUGAAGGUGUUUCAGAUUCACAACGAGUCAAUUCUGUCUCAGAAGUCAAAUGAACAUAUUUUUUCAGAGGAGGAAUGAAAUCAAGUAACUAGGAGGAGGAACAAAUUCAGUUCAAUUUGACAAAUGUUUAUUAAUCACAUAUUGAAUGUGAGGAACUAUGCCAGUUGGAUACAAAAGCCAAAAAAGGAAAUAGUCCUGACCCUCACAGAUCUUCCAUUCUACUGGCUGGAUGCAGCAUAUACAUAAAUAUAUCCAUAAAUGUAAAGUAAUUUGAAGCUGGAGUAAACAUUAACAUUUGGAAGAAUCUAGGAAAUCUUCCAAAGAAGGGAGGCUAAGGAGCUAAAAGAAGGUAAAAACUAGUGAAGAGUAGGUGGGAAGAUAAGUGGGGAGCAAAUGCUGACUUCUAGGAAUGGUUGGUAUUUUAGUUUGGAUCACAAAGGAAAGCUCAGAAAUUUGGUCCUCCCAUUGACUCAGUAAAUAAAAUUCUAAGCUUUUUAAGGUAAAAGGACCCUUAUCUAAUUCACAGAAGACUGAGAGGAAGGAAAUGAUUUGGUUAAGGUCACUGAGAUUAAAAUAGUGAUUUCAGGGCUCCAAAUACUGUGGUCUAGUAAUUGUCAAAGUGUGGUCCAGGGACCCCCUUAGGGAAACGGUUAAGGGUGGGGGCCCCUUUUCAGGGAGUCCAUGAAGUCAAAACAAUUUUCAUAGUAAUACCAUUAUAUUUUAAUUUCUAAUAUAAUACAUUUUUAUAUUUAAUUUAAACAAAUACAAAAUGAAAAAAGGAAUAAAUUGUGAUGCACAUGGCAGACCCUAAGAGAAGAUUCAACAUAAAAUAAUAAAUUUUCAUUUCAAGAAAUAAAUUCUACCACAUUGUCUUCUAAGCUGCCCUGCUUCUCUUUGCUUCCUUGUUCAUUUUCUUUUGUUCUCUGCUAAUUACUUUUUACUUUAUUUUUUCUCCUCCUUUCCCCUAUCAGUCUAAAAAAGGCUACAAUUAAGCAUGGCUAUGUUAAACUGUACUAUGCUUAUUUUCUCCUAUCAUUUAUUUCUCUGAAGGUGUCUAGCAUAUUCCUUCACAAGUCCAAGUCUUUUCAUGUUUUCUCUAAAUCAGCCAACUCAUCAUUUCCUACAACAUAGCAAUAUUCUAAUCCAAUCACAUUCAUUAUCUGAGAGAUUGUGACUCCCCCCUCCCAGUUUUCUGCAUUCCUUCAGUGCUCUCACUUUAUGUCUUAAGGUCUGCUACUGAUGAAUCUGUUUCUUUUUUCCCUGGUUUCUUAAAUCCCUGACCUUUUAUUCUACCAAAUGAGCUUUGUUUUUAAUAUGAUAAAUAUUAAUAAACAUAAUUCACAUAAACAAAAAGCUCUUGGUGGGGAGAAUCUUCACUAAUUUUUAAGAGUAUAAAACGGGUCCUGAGACCAAAAAGUUUGAAAACAACUGUUCAUAGUUUUUCCACUAACUACAUCAAGCAAUCUAGUCUCUCUUCCUGCCCACUCCUCCCCACCCCUCAUUAAUGAAGACUGGGCUGGGCUUUCCAUUGCUGAAUCACUAAUGGUUAUUACUCAGAUUAUUUACAGAGCUGAUGAAGCAGUCAAGUUCAAGAUAGAUAUAUCUACCCAUAGGCUAAAACAUCUAUUGAUUUGUGGCCUGAACCUUGCUAAUAUUUGAACUAGCACACAAGGAGAUAAAAGGUUUCAUAGAGGGCUCCCAUCUCUGUGUGUACCAGUUCCCAUUAAUCAGCCAUUUGUGCCUCCUGGAGAACAGGCCAGGCCAGUGCCAACAUCAUUAAGGCUACUUAACCUUUACUCAGCUCGCGCUGAGCCGGAGCAGAGAAAGCUCCCUGCCCCCCACCGCUGCAUCGAUGACUUCCCCAUUUGGUGGAGGAAAGGUUGAGGCAGUGUGGUUGAGUUGGUUCCGAGGGGCUCUACGGAACUGUAGACGGAGG
This is a long non-coding RNA of Sarcophilus harrisii (Tasmanian devil), 3273 nucleotides long. The record is from Ensembl. Lineage: Eukaryota; Metazoa; Chordata; Mammalia; Dasyuromorphia; Dasyuridae.